Orycteropus afer afer is the source of this 74-nucleotide non-coding RNA. The record is from the annotation of a RefSeq genome assembly. NCBI's taxonomy places the organism in Eukaryota, Metazoa, Chordata, Mammalia, Tubulidentata, Orycteropodidae.
GGCUCUAUGGUUUAGUUAGUUAAAACACCUGUCUUAUGAACAGGAGAUACUGGGUUUGAGUCCCAGUAGGGCCU